AAUUUAGGCUAAGCAGCAAAGUUAAAUGGAACAAAUCUCAAAACUUGCAACAAAUGAGGAGGCUUGUUGCAGAACAAUAUGUAAACAUCUCAUUUCUCAUUUCUCAUUCUUUUCACAGAUGGAUAGUUGAGGUUUGAUUCCGCCUUCUUCUUAGGUUCCAUUGGGAGGAAAGUCUCAAGCUUGUUGUGUAAACAAGGUGGAGGUAAUCCUCCACGAACUAAUGUUG
RNAcentral lists this long non-coding RNA (226 nucleotides) under Trifolium pratense (red clover). Its description in RNAcentral is "long non-coding RNA (TPRA_LNC010683)". Lineage: Eukaryota; Viridiplantae; Streptophyta; Magnoliopsida; Fabales; Fabaceae. The record is from RNAcentral.